Molecule: ribosomal RNA, 497 nt
Filed under: uncultured bacterium
Lineage: Bacteria
Description: partial 16S ribosomal RNA
Rfam family: Bacterial small subunit ribosomal RNA
Source: RNAcentral
GACGAACGCUGGCGGCGUGCCUAAUACAUGCAAGUUGAGCGCUGAAGGUUGGUACUUGUACCAACUGGAUGAGCAGCGAACGGGUGAGUAACGCGUGGGGAAUCUGCCUUUGAGCGGGGGACAACAUUUGGAAACGAAUGCUAAUACCGCAUAAAAACUUUAAACACAAGUUUUAAGUUUGAAAGAUGCAAUUGCAUCACUCAAAGAUGAUCCCGCGUUGUAUUAGCUAGUUGGUGAGGUAAAGGCUCACCAAGGCGAUGAUACAUAGCCGACCUGAGAGGGUGAUCGGCCACAUUGGGACUGAGACACGGCCCACACUCCUCCGGGAGGCAGCAGUAGGGAAUCUUCUGCAAUGGACGAAAGUCUGACCGAGCAACGCGGCGUGAGUGAAGAAGGUGUUCGGAUCGUAAAACUCUGUUGGUAGAGAAGAACGUUUGUGAGAGUGGAAAGCUCAUCAAGUGACGGUAACUACCCAGAAAGGGACGGCUAACUACGUG